GUGCGGGGGUCUGACCCCCUGCGUGCCGCAGUUAAACACAAUAAGUAUCCCACCUGGGGAGUACGAUCGCAAGGUUGAAAUUCAAAGGAAUUGACGGGGGCCCGCACAAGCGGUGGAUUAUGUGGUUUAAUUCGAUGCAACGCGAAGAACCUUACCAGGGCUUGACAUCCUGCUAACGAGGUAGAGAUACGUCAGGUGCCCUUCGGGGAAAGCAGAGACAGGUGGUGCAUGGUUGUCGUCAGCUCGUGUCGUGAGAUGUUGGGUUAAGUCCCGCAACGAGCGCAACCCUUAUUGUUAGUUGCUACGCAAGAGCACUCUAGCGAGACUGCCGUUGACAAAACGGAGGAAGGUGGGGACGACGUCAAAUCAUCAUGCCCCUUAUGUCCUGGGCUACACACGUAAUACAAUGGCGGUCAACAGAGGGAUGCAAAACCGUGAGGUGGAGCGAACCCCUAAAAGCCGUC
This 464-nucleotide ribosomal RNA is filed under the name uncultured bacterium. RNAcentral describes it as "bacterial SSU rRNA". It matches the Rfam family "Bacterial small subunit ribosomal RNA", at positions 822 to 1287 of the family's 1533-position model. The record is from RNAcentral.